UACGUAGGGGGCGAGCGUUGUCCGGAGUUACUGGGCGUAAAGCGCACGCAGGCGGUCUGUUAAGUUUUGGAGUGACAGUUGGUGGCUUAACUGCCAAAGUGCUUCGAAAACUGACAGACUUGAGGGCUUCAGAGGGACACGGAAUUCCGGGUGGAGUGGUGAAAUGCGUAGAGAUCCGGAGGAACACCAAAAGGCGAAGGCAGUGUCCUGGGGAGUACCUGACGCUCGAGGUGCGAAAGCCAGGGGAGCGAACGGG
This 256-nucleotide ribosomal RNA is filed under the name uncultured bacterium. Its description in RNAcentral is "partial 16S ribosomal RNA". It matches the Rfam family "Bacterial small subunit ribosomal RNA", at positions 524 to 776 of the family's 1533-position model. The record is from RNAcentral.